UACGAAGGGGGCUAGCGUUGCUCGGAAUGACUGGGCGUAAAGGGCGCGUAGGCGGCUUGCACCGUCAGAUGUGAAAUUCCUGGGCUUAACCUGGGGGCUGCAUUUGAUACGUGUGGGCUUGAGUGCGGAAGAGGGUCGUGGAAUUCCCAGUGUAGAGGUGAAAUUCGUAGAUAUUGGGAAGAACACCGGUGGCGAAGGCGGCGACCUGGUCCGUGACUGACGCUGAGGCGCGAAGGCCAGGGGAGCAAACGGG
Molecule: ribosomal RNA, 253 nt
Filed under: uncultured bacterium
Lineage: Bacteria
Description: partial 16S ribosomal RNA
Rfam family: Bacterial small subunit ribosomal RNA
Source: RNAcentral